Molecule: ribosomal RNA, 1439 nt
Filed under: uncultured organism
Description: SSU rRNA
Rfam family: Bacterial small subunit ribosomal RNA
Source: RNAcentral
UCUACAGGCUUAACACAUGCAAGUCGAGGGGCAGCAUUUUAGUUUGCUUGCAAACUAAAGAUGGCGACCGGCGCACGGGUGAGUAACACGUAUCCAACCUGCCGAUAACUCGGGGAUAGCCUUUCGAAAGAAAGAUUAAUAUCCGAUAGUAUAUUAAAACCGCAUGGUUUUACUAUUAAAGAAUUUCGGUUAUCGAUGGGGAUGCGUUCCAUUAGUUUGUUGGCGGGGUAACGGCCCACCAAGACAACGAUGGAUAGGGGUUCUGAGAGGAAGGUCCCCCACAUUGGAACUGAGACACGGUCCAAACUCCUACGGGAGGCAGCAGUGAGGAAUAUUGGUCAAUGGACGAGAGUCUGAACCAGCCAAGUAGCGUGAAGGAUGACUGCCCUAUGGGUUGUAAACUUCUUUUAUAUGGGAAUAAAGUAUUCCACGUGUGGGAUUUUGUAUGUACCAUAUGAAUAAGGAUCGGCUAACUCCGUGCCAGCAGCCGCGGUAAUACGGAGGAUCCGAGCGUUAUCCGGAUUUAUUGGGUUUAAAGGGAGCGUAGGUGGAUUGUUAAGUCAGUUGUGAAAGUUUGCGGCUCAACCGUAAAAUUGCAGUUGAAACUGGCAGUCUUGAGUACAGUAGAGGUGGGCGGAAUUCGUGGUGUAGCGGUGAAAUGCUUAGAUAUCACGAAGAACUCCGAUUGCGAAGGCAGCUCACUAGACUGCAACUGACACUGAUGCUCGAAAGUGUGGGUAUCAAACAGGAUUAGAUACCCUGGUAGUCCACACAGUAAACGAUGAAUACUCGCUGUUUGCGAUAUACAGUAAGCGGCCAAGCGAAAGCAUUAAGUAUUCCACCUGGGGAGUACGCCGGCAACGGUGAAACUCAAAGGAAUUGACGGGGGCCCGCACAAGCGGAGGAACAUGUGGUUUAAUUCGAUGAUACGCGAGGAACCUUACCCGGGCUUAAAUUGCAUUUGGAUAAUCUGGAAACAGGUUAGCCGCAAGGCAAAUGUGAAGGUGCUGCAUGGUUGUCGUCAGCUCGUGCCGUGAGGUGUCGGCUUAAGUGCCAUAACGAGCGCAACCCUUAUCUUUAGUUACUAACAGGUCAUGCUGAGGACUCUAGAGAGACUGCCGUCGUAAGAUGUGAGGAAGGUGGGGAUGACGUCAAAUCAGCACGGCCCUUACGUCCGGGGCUACACACGUGUUACAAUGGGGGGUACAGAAGGCAGCUACCUGGCGACAGGAUGCUAAUCCCAAAAACCUCUCUCAGUUCGGAUCGAAGUCUGCAACCCGACUUCGUGAAGCUGGAUUCGCUAGUAAUCGCGCAUCAGCCAUGGCGCGGUGAAUACGUUCCCGGGCCUUGUACACACCGCCCGUCAAGCCAUGAAAGCCGGGGGUACCUGAAGUACGUAACCGCAAGGAGCGUCCUAGGGUAAAACUGGUAAUUGGGGC